GAUGAACGCUGGCGGCGUGCCUAAUACAUGCAAGUCGAGCGAACAGACGAGGCGCUUGCUCCUCUGACGUUAGCGGCGGACGGGUGAGUAACACGUGUAUACCCUACCUAUAAGACUGGUAUCACUUCGGGAAACCGGCUCUAAUACCGGAUAAUAUAUUGAACCGCAUGGUUCAAUAGAGAAAUACGGUUUUGCUGUCACUUAUAGCUGGUUCCGGGCCGCAUUAGCUAGUUGGUAGGGUCACGGCUUACCAAGGCAACGAGGCGUAGCCGACCUGAGAGGGGGAUCGGCCACACGGGAGCUGGACCGCGGUCAAGGCUCCUGCGGUAGGCAGCAGUAGGGAAUCUUCCGCAGUGGGCGAGAGCAUGACGGAGCAGCGCGGCGUGAGUGAUGAAGGUCUUGGGAUCGUAAAACUGUGUUAUGAGGGAAGAACAAAUGUGUACGUAACUAUGCACGUCUUGACGGUACCUAAUCAGAAAGCCACGGCUAACUACGUG
RNAcentral lists this ribosomal RNA (497 nucleotides) under uncultured bacterium. RNAcentral's name for it is "partial 16S ribosomal RNA". It matches the Rfam family "Bacterial small subunit ribosomal RNA", at positions 28 to 507 of the family's 1533-position model. The record is from RNAcentral.